Molecule: long non-coding RNA, 669 nt
Filed under: Canis lupus dingo (dingo)
Lineage: Eukaryota; Metazoa; Chordata; Mammalia; Carnivora; Canidae
Description: lncRNA (ENSCAFG00020025411.1)
Source: RNAcentral
AUGCAGUUCACUUGUGUUUAUUUUUGCAGAAAAGCAAUUUAUCCAGCCACUCUGGAAAAAAAAAAUGGCCUGUCAGGAGCCUCCUUUGGAGCAGAGUGUUUUUCCUCAAAAGAAACUCAAAUUGUUCUCAAUGUAGGGCAGGCUUUGGGUGUGUCUCCUCGAACAUGUACAGGGGUCUGUCCCGUGUGCGGGAGAGCAUUGGGGUGUCUGGCGUGGGCCCUGGCUUUGUCUCUAGAAUGUGGAUGGUGCAUCUUUGGGCCUCUGUCCUUCCCUGCCUGCGUGGGUUUGAGAUACUCUUACAAAAGGAAUGUGUGCGGGUUCCGGCCCAGCGGAGCAGGCCCUGGCCUGAUCGGGAGCUGCGAAGCACCCAGCCAGCAAAGGCUGCCUUUGGAACAGGGAGUUUGGCCGGCCAGAGACAAGCCAUUCCAGAGACAGACGAUCACACAAACUGGUGCCCACACACGCUGGGGUAUACAGCCCUCCUCUGGCAGCUCGGCCUGUGCUUUCCAGGGCUCUAGCUGUCUUCUGGGCCCACCAGGGAACCCAAGCUUCCGACUCUCCUGGGUGCGGCUGCACUCAAACUGCUGGAGCUCCGGCAAGAUGCAUCAUUUGGCUGGUUGCAGUCCUCUUCAGAGCACUCUGAGCUGUGCAUCCUCCUGGCACUUUUGA